RNAcentral lists this ribosomal RNA (253 nucleotides) under uncultured bacterium. Its description in RNAcentral is "partial 16S ribosomal RNA". It matches the Rfam family "Bacterial small subunit ribosomal RNA", at positions 524 to 776 of the family's 1533-position model. The record is from RNAcentral.
UACGUAGGAUGCAAGCGUUGUCCGGAUUUAUGGGGUUUAACGGGUGCGUAGGCGGCCUAUUAAGUUAGUGGUAAAAACCUUCGGCUUAACCGGAUACCCGCCAUUGAUACUGAUAGACUUGAGUGCGACAGAGGGUGUUGGAAUGUGUGGUGUAGCGGUGAAAUGCUUAGAUAUCACGCAGAACGCCAAUUGCGAAGGCAGAUGCCUAUGUCGUAACUGACGCUGAGGCUCGAAAGCGUGGGGAGUAGACAGG